RNAcentral lists this ribosomal RNA (252 nucleotides) under uncultured bacterium. RNAcentral's name for it is "partial 16S ribosomal RNA". It matches the Rfam family "Bacterial small subunit ribosomal RNA", at positions 524 to 776 of the family's 1533-position model. The record is from RNAcentral.
UACGGAGGAUGCGAGCGUUAUCCGGAUUUAUUGGGUUUAAAGGGGGCGUAGGCGGACGCUUAAGUCAGCGGUAAAAUUGCGGGGCUCAACCUCGUCGAGCCGUUGAAACUGGGUGCCUUGAGUGGGCGAGAAGUACGCGGAAUGCGUGGUGUAGCGGUGAAAUGCAUAGAUAUCACGCAGAACUCCGAUUGCGAAGGCAGCGUACCGGCGCCCAACUGACGCUGAAGCACGAAGGCGUGGGUAUCGAGCAGG